This is a long non-coding RNA of Carassius carassius (crucian carp), 276 nucleotides long. RefSeq lists it as uncharacterized. The record is from RefSeq and is a predicted model, not a curated record. Lineage: Eukaryota; Metazoa; Chordata; Actinopteri; Cypriniformes; Cyprinidae. The transcript is spliced from 3 exons.
UCUAGUCGUGUUUGGUGGACAGUUCAAGCACUCUGCUCCCCAUCAGUAGAUGUACGCCAUAGUUCUUUGCACUGCCGUCAUCUGUCUCAUCUGGAGAAGAGGUGAUGCAGCCAGCUUUACAAAACCCCAGAGAGCAGCUGGAAGAUGCAAAUGAGCCUAAAGAAAGUGUGGAACAGCAUAAGGGUGAGUAUAUUAACUUUUUAUUUUAUUAUUAUUUUAUUACAUUUUUUAAUUAAACUAUCCUGUUAAAUCAACUGAACUAGAUAAAGCAUGGCU